RNAcentral lists this ribosomal RNA (482 nucleotides) under uncultured bacterium. Its description in RNAcentral is "partial 16S ribosomal RNA". It matches the Rfam family "Bacterial small subunit ribosomal RNA", at positions 29 to 523 of the family's 1533-position model. The record is from RNAcentral.
AAUGAACGUUGGCGGCGUGGAUUAGGCAUGCAAGUCGAGCGAUAACCGUAGCAAUACGGCGAAAGCGGCGAAAGGGAGAGUAAUGCAUGGAUAUCUACCCUCGGGUCUGGGAUAGCCGCGGGAAACUGCGGGUAAUACCAGAUAACAUCUGCGGAUCAAAGGUGUGAUUCCGCCCGAGGAGGGGUCCAUGUCCUAUUAGCUAGUUGGUGGGGUAACGGCCCACCAAGGCUGGGAUGGGUACGAGGUGUGAGAGCACGACCUCGUUCACUGGGACUGAGACACUGCCCAGACACCUACGGGUGGCUGCAGUCGAGAAUCUUCGGCAAUGGGCGCAAGCCUGACCGAGCGACGCCGCGUGCGGGAUGAAGGCCUUCGGGUUGUAAACCGCUGUCAGUGUGGAGGAAAUGCCUAGGGGUAAUCUCCUAGGUUUGACCUAUACGCAGAGGAAGGAUGGGCUAAGUUCGUGCCAGCAGCCGCGGUAA